Molecule: unclassified non-coding RNA, 3254 nt
Filed under: Hevea brasiliensis (rubber tree)
Lineage: Eukaryota; Viridiplantae; Streptophyta; Magnoliopsida; Malpighiales; Euphorbiaceae
Source: RNAcentral
GGGGUCUCUCUGUUUUCUCUUCUCUGCUCCACAUGAAAUAGAAUGCUGCUUUCUCUUCAUCAUCUUCAUCCCUCACCCUGUCCUAAAACCCUACCAAACCCCUCUUAUUCUCUCAUUCCAAUCCCCAAAUCCCUAGUCGUCCAAAACCCUAGAUACACUUUCGGUUCAUUUGUCCGCUGCUCUGCUUCCGACUCCCAAACCCUCCCUCACUCUGCCAUCCAGCGAAUCGCUGAUAAGCUUCGCUCUCUUGGCUUCACUGAACAUAACCCUAAACCGAAAAUCAUUAACCCCGAGCUCGAAACUGAUACCAAACCCGUUGGAGAAAUCUUUAUUCCCCUUCCCAAUCAGUUACCUAAGUACCGGGUUGGCCACACGCUUGACCCUAGUUGGAGCACGCCGGAGAACCCUGUGCCGAGACCCGGAUCGGGAAAUGCGAUAGUCAGGUACCAUGAGCUGAGAGAGAAGGUGAAGAAAGAGAGAGAAGCGAGGAAGAGAGAGCCUAAGCCUCCGACAUUAGCGGAACUGAAUUUGCCGGAGGAGGAGCUAAGGAGGCUGAAGAGAAUUGGGAUUGCGGAAAAGAGGAAGUUGAAGGUAGGAAAAGCGGGGAUUACUGAAGGGAUUGUUAAUGGGAUUCACGAGAGGUGGAGGAGGGCAGAAGUGGUUAAGAUUGUUUGUGAGGAUUUGUGCCGGAUGAACAUGAAGAGGACUCAUGAUUUAUUGGAGAGAAAAACUGGAGGUCUGGUUGUUUGGCGAUCUGGGAGUAAAAUAGUAUUGUAUAGGGGCGUCAAUUAUAAGUAUCCCUACUUCUUAUCAGAUAAUAUUACAACAAAUGAAACUUCUAUCGAUGCUGUACAUGGUACACAUGUGGAUCAUGAGGGUGAUAAAAUGGGGAGCUUCUCAUCUGCAGAUGGCAUAAACAUAAAGUCUUCUGGACCAAUUCCAACCAAUAACAUUGUUCGACCAGCCUUAGUACAAGGUGUUGGUUCCCCAAAUAGAGUAAGAUUUCAAUUGCCAGGUGAGGCACAACUUGCAGAAGAAUCUGACCGCCUGCUAGAUGGACUAGGCCCGCGAUUUACCGACUGGUGGGGAUGUGAUCCACUCCCAGUUGAUGCUGAUCUUCUUCCUGCUGUUGUUCCUCGAUAUCGGAAACCGUUCCGCCUUCUUCCAUAUGGUGUCUGGCCCAAACUGACAAAUGAUGAAAUGACUACAUUAAAGAGGCUGGGACGACCCUUACCUUGCCAUUUUGCGUUAGGUAGAAAUAGGAAACUCCAAGGAUUGGCUUCUUCGAUUGUCAAGCUUUGGGAAAAAUGUGAGAUUGCUAAAAUUGCAGUUAAGAGAGGAGUGCAGAACACUAACAGUGAGAUGAUGGCUGAAGAGUUAAAGUGGCUGACCGGAGGAACUCUGCUUUCACGGGACAGAGAAUUUAUUGUGUUGUAUAGGGGAAAGGAUUUCCUUCCAUCUGCAGUUUCUUCUACAAUAAAAGAGCGAAGAAAACAUGGGAUUCAUGGGUAUAAACAGAGAAGAGAUCAUAGCAUAGCAGGUGAAAAUGCAGAGGCUGAGGACAUUAAAGAUGGGACUAUAAAUUCUGGCUCUAGAGGUGAAUUUCAUAGUGCAAAUGGCCAAAGUUCGGAUCUCUCUAAAGAGAGGAAGCUAAGGUCCAAUGAGGCAGCUAUUAAAAGGACUAGCAUCAGAUUGUCUAUGGCACUAGAAAAGAAAGCCAAAGCAGAGAAACUUCUAGUGGAGCUGGGGAAUUCAAAGAUGCCUCAACAACAAGAAAUAGACAAAGAGGGUAUAACUGAAGAAGAAAGAUAUAUGCUAAGGAAGGUUGGCUUGAAAAUGAAGCCUUUCCUAUUAUUGGGUAGACGGGGAGUUUUUGAUGGAACAGUUGAAAACAUGCAUCUUCAUUGGAAGUAUAGGGAACUUGUGAAGAUAAUAUGUAAAGAAAAAAGUUUUGAAGCUGUUCAUGAAGUGGCACAGAUCUUAGAGGCUGAAAGUGGUGGAAUAUUGGUUGCAGUUGAACGAGUCAGCAAGGGUUAUGCUAUCGUUGUAUAUCGCGGAAAGAAUUACCGGCGACCUCCUCGUUUGAGGCCUUCAACUCUCCUUAAUAAGAGAGAAGCAAUGAAGUGCUCUUUAGAGGCACAGCGUUGCGAGUCCUUGAAACUUCAUGUUUUGAAGCUUACCAGAAACAUAAAUGACUUGAAACUUAAGUUGGCUAAAGACAAGGAGGCACACAAAAUGCAGUCAUUUGAUGAAGUGAGAUUUCAGGAGGUUUACUAUCUCUCUAUCAUAGUAUAUGAUGGACACUAGACACUUGAGCUUAUAUGCUUAUAUUUUGGUCCUAUAAUUUGACUACGGGUUUAUUUAAAAUCAUCUGUAGAAGUGUAUAUUUUGGCCCUAUAAGGCUACAUGUUUAAUAUAAAAGUAAUUUCGGAGCUUAUUUCUUUGAUUUUUGUAUUUAGACCAUCUGCCUUUAUUUUCCAGUUUCAUAUAAACUUUUUUCAGAAAGGAGCUCUACCCAUUUAUCUAAAAUCAUGAUAUAGUGCCAAGCAAUCUGUUAAACUAUUGUACUUUGUAUCAAUAAAUAGUUAUUUCAAAUCUUGAGAAUUGAUAUUUGUAUAUUUAGUUAAAUAUAUAUCAAAUUAUGAAUUCAGGUUUUUUUUUCGUUUAUUUAUUUUAAAUUCACUGUAGAGCCAAUGCUACCAUACAAUUCAAUGAAGUUUUAUACUAGCUACUAAGACAUAACGUAAUUUAGAACACUGAUGACGGAAAUCCUAGAGAUUUGAGGACUACCUAUUUUAGGAAAAAAUAUAGGAAGUAAUCUAUUUUAUUUUAAUGUUUUAUUUAGUGUAUAAGUCCUGGUCAGAGUUGAAUUAGGGUUCUUAAAAUCCUAAUGUAAUUGGGAUUUCAAACUUUAUAAAAUAGGGCUUAGUUUCUUUAUUUAGCCGUAAAUAGAACUAUUUUUAUUGAUAGAACUGUUAUAAUAUUAACUAUUGAUUUGAGCAAUAAAAUUGAGAAUUAGUUUCUCCCAAUUUGAGAAUUUGUCUCUAACCAAAUCCCCAUUUACCUAUUGGUCCUACAUCAACCAUACCCAUCAAUUCUACCCUCCAGUUCUUGUUUGUUCCAGCUUCUUCCUGUUUUACCCAUUGAUUCUGCAGUUUGCCAAACAGUUUUUGCCCUUCUUCUCCUCAGACGACUCCUAGUUCUCCCUCUCACGAGGCCAGAAGCCAUGCUGCUGCCAUGUCCCUUCUUGGUCC